RNAcentral lists this ribosomal RNA (422 nucleotides) under uncultured bacterium. RNAcentral's name for it is "bacterial SSU rRNA". It matches the Rfam family "Bacterial small subunit ribosomal RNA", at positions 355 to 774 of the family's 1533-position model. The record is from RNAcentral.
UGAGGAAUAUUGGUCAAUGGGCGGGAGCCUGAACCAGCCAAGUCGCGUGAAGGAAGAAGGAUCUAUGGUUCGUAAACUUCUUUUGCAGGGGAAUAAAGUGCGGGACGUGUCCUGUUUUGUAUGUACCCUGAGAAUAAGGAUCGGCUAACUCCGUGCCAGCAGCCGCGGUAAUACGGAGGAUCCGAGCGUUAUCCGGAUUUAUUGGGUUUAAAGGGUGCGUAGGUGGUUUGAUAAGUCAGCGGUGAAAGUUUGCAGCUUAACUGUAAAAAUGCCGUUGAAACUGUCGGACUUGAGUGUAAAUGAGGUAGGCGGAAUGCGUGGUGUAGCGGUGAAAUGCAUAGAUAUCACGCAGAACUCCGAUUGCGAAGGCAGCUUACUAAGCUACAACUGACACUGAAGCACGAAAGCGUGGGGAUCAAACA